Molecule: ribosomal RNA, 159 nt
Filed under: Botryosphaeria dothidea
Lineage: Eukaryota; Fungi; Ascomycota; Dothideomycetes; Botryosphaeriales; Botryosphaeriaceae
Description: 5.8S ribosomal RNA
Rfam family: 5.8S ribosomal RNA
About the family: 5.8S ribosomal RNA (5.8S rRNA) is a component of the large subunit of the eukaryotic ribosome. It is transcribed by RNA polymerase I as part of the 45S precursor that also contains 18S and 28S rRNA.
Source: RNAcentral
AAAACUUUCAACAACGGAUCUCUUGGUUCUGGCAUCGAUGAAGAACGCAGCGAAAUGCGAUAAGUAAUGUGAAUUGCAGAAUUCAGCGGAUCAUCGAAUCUUUGAACGCACAUUGCGCCCUUUGGUAUUCCGAAGGGCAUGCCUGUUCGAGCGUCAUUA